RNAcentral lists this ribosomal RNA (492 nucleotides) under uncultured bacterium. RNAcentral describes it as "partial 16S ribosomal RNA". It matches the Rfam family "Bacterial small subunit ribosomal RNA", at positions 29 to 507 of the family's 1533-position model. The record is from RNAcentral.
AGUGAACGCUGGCGGUAGGCCUAACACAUGCCAGUCGAACGGCAGCUCAGUAAGAGCUUGCUCUUACGGGUGGCGAGUGGCGGACGGGUGAGGAAUACAUCGGAAUCUACUUUUUCGUGGGGGAUAACGUAGGGAAACUUACGCUAAUACCGCAUACGACCUACGGGUGAAAGCAGGGGAUCUUCGGACCUUGCGCGAUUGAAUGAGCCGAUGUCGGAUUAGCUAGUUGGCGGGGUAAAGGCCCACCAAGGCGACGAUCCGUAGCUGGUCUGAGAGGAUGAUCAGCCACACUGGAACUGAGACACGGUCCAGACUCCUACGGGAGGCAGCAGUGGGGAAUAUUGGACAAUGGGCGCAAGCCUGAUCCAGCCAUACCGCGUGGGUGAAGAAGGCCUUCGGGUUGUAAAGCCCUUUUGUUGGGAAAGAAAAGCAGCAGGUUAAUACCCCGCUGUUCUGACGGUACCCAAAGAAUAAGCACCGGCUAACUUCGUG